GCCUCCUGGCCCGCUGGACAGCGGCCGCCUGGCUGUUGGGCAAGGGACAGCCUGGGGCUCUGGAGUCCCCGAGAGAGACUCCUGGACGCAAACUCUUCCAGGUCACCAGGAUGGAGCCAGCACCCACCCCAAGGACAGUACCUAUUCUCUGGAUCCUUAAACUCGGAGAACUAGAACUACAGAGCUUCAGCCUCCUCUCUGCGAAUUUCUCCAGUCCAGCUUUGCUCAAGGAAGCCAGCUUUGCCGUGGGAUGCUAAAGGACAGGUCCAGACAUCUCACCUAGACGCAGCAGUGAAAGAGAUAGCAGAGUCUCCCCAGUGACGGGGGUGGAGGAGAACCUAGGGAGGCAAGAAGAGUCCUGACAGUCUAGUGUGUCCAUCCCCAAGCAGCGGGAUCCCAGCCACCACUGUCAAAAAUUUGUAUUCAGGAGGGCCCAGGGAUUUCGGGGCAUGGGAGGGGCAGAAGCCAGGAGGGGCAGCCAGGGGAACUGGAGGCACCUCUAAUUGCACAACAAACACUUUUCACCAGGGCGGGGGAUGGCUGGAGGGGACAUUGAUGGAGAUCAAAGGGGGACACCAACAUCUUCCAAACAUGCUUUUAUUUACAUAUUACAACAGUUUGAUGAGAUGUCCACAUUAAAUACAUACACAUACAUCGAUUUUUUUUUUCUUUCGACCUUUACUGGAGUAUAAAGCUUUACACUGUUGUGCCAGUUUCUGCUGUACAACAAAGCGAAUCAGCUGUAUUUAUACUUAUAUCCCCAUAUGCCCUCUCUGUUGAGCCUCCCUCCCACCCUCCCUAUCCCACCCCUCUAGCUCUUCACCAGUCAUCAAGUUGAUCUCCCUGUGUUAUGCAGUUUCUUCCCACUAGCUAUCUGUUUUACAUUUGGUAGUGUAUAAAUGUCAAUACUACUCUUUCACUUUGUUCCAGCUUCUCCUUCCCCCGCUUCCCGUGUCCUCAAGUCUGGUCUCUACGUCUGCAUCUUUAUUCUUCCCCUGCCACUGAGUUCAUCAGUACCAUUUUUUUAGAUCCCAUAUAUAUGUGUUAGCAUACGGUAUUUGUUUUUCUCUUUCUGACUUACUUCACUCUGUAUGACAGAUUCUAGGUCCAUCCACCUCACUACAAAUAACUCAAUUUCAUUCCUUUUUAUGGUUGAGUAAUAUUCCAUUGUACAUAUGUGCCACAUCUUCUUUAUCCAUUUAUCUGUCGAUGGACAUUUAGGUUGCUUCCAUGUCCUGGCUGUUGUAAAUAAUGCUGCAAUGAACAUUGUGGUACAUGUAUCUUUUUGAAUUAUGGUUUUCUCUGGGUAUAUGCCCAGUAGUGGGAUUGCUGGGUCAUAUGGUAGAUCUAUUUUUAGAUUUUUGAGGAGCCUCCAUACUGUUUUCCAUAGUGGUUGUAUCACUUUACAGUCCCACCAACAGUGCAGGAGGGUUCCCUUUUCUCCACAGCCUCUCCAGCAUUUAUUGUUCCUAGAUUUUUUGAUGAUGGCCAAUCUAAGUGGUGUGAGGUGAUACCUCAUUGUGGGUUUGACUUGCAUUUCUCUAAUGAUUAGUGAUGUCGAGCAUCUUUUCACAUGUUUGUUGGCCAUCUGCCUGUCUUCUUUGGAGAAAUGUCUGUUUAGGUCUUCCACCCAUUUUUGGAUGGGGUUGUUUGUUUGUUUGAUAUUGAGCUGCAUGAGCUGCUUAUGUAUUUUGGAGAUUAAUCUUUUGUCAGUUGCUUCGUUGGCAAAUAUUUUCUCCCACUCCGAGGGUUGUCUUUUCGUCAUACUUAUGGUUUCCUUUGCUGUGCAAAAACUUUUAAGUUUCCUUAGGCCCCAUUUGUUUAUUUUUGUUUUUAUUUCCUUUACUCUAGGAGAUGGGUCAAAAAAGAUCCUGCUGUGAUGUAUGUCAUAGAGUGUUCUGCCUGUGUUUUCCUCUAAGAGUUUUAUAAUGUCAGGCCUUACAUUUAGGUCUUUGAUCCAUUUUGAGUUUAUUUUUGUCAUACACAUACAUAGAUUUUAAUCUGGAGUGCCCUGGGUACUACCACUGCUCUGUUUUGUCCUUCUUGUUCAUAUGGUUUUGAGCACUUUCUUGGACUUCUGGCCUUUUUGCCUAGAGAGCAUCAGCCUCGUAUUUAGGGUGUCAACAACCAACUACCCUUCAGGGAACCCUUUCCAACUUUUAGCCCCUGGUUCGUGGUAGAGCUGGUCUCACCACUCUCCCCACAGCGUCUCCCCUUCAAAGUGGAAGGCUGGGCCAAUCAGCAGAGCCAUUGCUCUGACCAUCACGGUUGGGUCAGGGCAGGCAUGUGACCCAGCUUGCCGAAUGAGAUGCAAGUCUGGAUCUCCCAAUGAGAUGCAAGUCUGGAAUUUUUCUUUGAAGCAUGGGAAAGAAGAGCACCAUCUCUGCUUGGGUGGCGGAUUUGAAGGAUAACACAGGUGUGCAGAGCCAGAGGUCACCACUUGAAGAGAGGUGGCCUGGGGAAUUCCCUGGUGGUCUAGUGGUUAGGAUUCCAUGCUUUCACUGCCGUGGCCUGGGUUCAUCCUGGAAGUCAUGCAGUGUGCUCGAACCGAAAAAAAAAAAAAAAGAAGAAGAAGAGAGGUGGCCCGAGAGUGAACCCACACAAAGGAGAACAGAACCAAAGUCGAUUUGAAGUCCAUCUUCUCUCCCUGGCACUGAGACUGCAACUUCUGGGAGUCAGGCCUUCAUCAGACAAGAGUUUUGAAAGGCAAAGCAAGAGCCAGGUUUGAUUAUGAAGCUAAAGGGAAGAACCCGAUGGGAGCCAGAACGGCCCAGACGUGGAGCUCACUCCUUACAACUGAACAAAAGGGCACUGGAGCAGGACAUGGGCUGGGCCAACAGGGUGUUUCCAAAUGAUGCCAAGAAACAGCAUUGGGGCAGGAGCAUCUGGUUUCCAGGGGCAGCUGUGGCAGAGUGCCAAUGGCAGUGCCAGUUGAGGCAUCUGAAUUCUGUGGUGGUGGCAGGAGUGACCUCACCAACCAGUUCCCUGGCAUGAUUUCAGCUGAUCACCCUCACCCCCUUGAUUUCUAUGACUUUCUGAGCUUGGUUUUCCAACCUUCCUGCCACUUUUGUGGGGAACUGAACAGCCUUCCAAUGCACGUUUUUGCUGUUUAAAUUGGCCAGUGUUUCUGCUGCUUGCAAAUGAAAACCUUGACUUACAUAAGAUGGGGAAACCCCAGCAUCUGUUAUAUUUAUAUUCUAAUUUUGGAACUGUUUGGGUUACAAUUAUCAGAAUAUCUGACCACUAGUAUCUUAAGCUGCACAGACAUUGUGAUUUCUCAUAACAAGGAGUCUGGAGGUAAGAGGUUCCAGGGUGGGACUGGUGUCCCCAUGGUUUCAGGGCUCUGGGAGGCAGCAGCAUCUCUGUGCCUGUCUUAACUUGCUCCUCAUGGCCACAAGAUGGCUGCAGAAGCUCCUGGCAUCAUGUCCUCGUAGGAAACAGUAAGGGAGGGAAGGGGGCAAUAACACCUUUCCUGUGUCCAGAAACCCCCACUCCAGACCUCCCCUUAAAACUUGCUGGCCAGAACUGGGAAACGUGCCCAGAUCGAAAACAACCCACACAAAAGACGUUGCCAAGAAUGGCUCAGCCAAAUCCUAAAUUAACCCCCGAGGCUGGGCACCAAAUCAUGGCUCUGUUGGUGAGGAGGGUGAAAUGGCCGCUGGGAUGGCAACAACAGGGUCAGCCACAAGAACUAACUGGGGCCUUGUUGUGGGCAGGAGCACGCCUUCGUGGACCUCUUGCUCUUGGGGUCCACAGGCCAGUGAUGCCCACGGAUGCUGGAGUGGAUGAGACUCUGCUCCCACCUCUCCACCCCAAAAGCUCUCAUUUGUGCAAGAGACAUUCAGGCUGCGCCUCCUGGGAUACAUGGCCAGGUGCCCCUAAUAAAACCGGAGCGCCGAGGCCCCACCAUGAGAAGCAAAAUCUCCAGGGCCCGUGAGAACAGAGGAGCUGGAGCUGCGUUCUCAGAGAUGAAGCCAGGGGCGGGUUUCCAAGCUGGCCAGGUCUGGGGCAGAUUCCCACCUCACACGGCUCCCCUGAGGCCCCUUUGGCCCUCGCUCGCUGUGAGGCCCCAGAAGUCACACUUGGCCUCCCUCUCGCGGGCCUCCAUCCCACCGUCCCGGGAGAUGGUGUUUUCCCACAGCCCAAGCCCAGGUGCGGAGGGAGGCUCCUUGCUGGCCGCAUCCAGGGCCAUGGCGGGGAAGCAGGACAUCUGGAAGCAGACGCGCUCUCCACAAGCUCAGUGCCUACAUGCCCAAGCUGCCCUGGACGAAAGGUGAAGGAGGUGAUGAGCUCCAGACCUCUGCAGGGUGCCGUACAGAGGAGGGCCAGGCUGGUCCGGGAGAGUGUGCACACGUGAGCACGUGUUUAAUUGUGCGUGAGCGAGCAUGUGAGCACGUUACACGGCCCGUGAGCAAGGCUACCUGUGAGCGUGACCACGUGGACGUGGGUGUCGGAUGCGUGAGUGCAGGUGUGCAUGUGAACGUCUGCAUGCCUGUGUGCACGUGUGUUCCGCUUCUCUCUGAAGGACACAAAUGUGCACAAAGUGAAGA
This is a long non-coding RNA of Hippopotamus amphibius kiboko, 4550 nucleotides long. RefSeq lists it as uncharacterized. The transcript is spliced from 5 exons. The record is from RefSeq and is a predicted model, not a curated record. Lineage: Eukaryota; Metazoa; Chordata; Mammalia; Artiodactyla; Hippopotamidae.